AAUAAAAUAAAUUAAUCAAUCGAACUAAUUCCCCAAUAUAACUGAACAUAACCUAUAUCCUGUGACAAUGACAUUUAAGUUUUACAACAAGAUUUAUUUUUCGUGGUUUUUAGAUUUAAUUUUCUAUAUUUCAUGAAAUAAUGGUGUGUAAGAAGAAAUGUUUGGAAUAAAAGAGCACACCCGCGCAGCGUUCGAAAACCACGUUAAUUGAAUUCACGAUACGCCAUCAACGACGACGACGACGACGAGAGGUGGACGACCACGGAGGCAACGCAGGAAAUUCAUUAUCGUAACGAGUGGACCGCAUUGUUCGAUGUUAAAACGCGACUUUACGGGUUUUAACGAGUCACCAUCUCUUUUCCUGCAGGCGCCAAUUAAGUGUGUUUUAAUAAAUUACCCGAAGAACACGCCGCAUCGGGCACCAAGCCAAAAGGAAGGCUGCUCUCCUUCCUACUUAAUUGACCGUCACCUUUUGUCAGCAACCGAAACCAUCUUUCUCCUAUAAUGAUCUAUUGGGCAUCAAUUUCACCCCUUGAUGAUUAUAAUGGGACCGUAAUUAAGGUUAAGCUGGGUAUAAUGAAUUUUGGUUUAGAAAUGAGUUAAUUAAGGUAAUAUAAACGAAGCCGUAAACUGGUUUUAAGAAACGCGAGGAAGACAAUAAAAGCAAGAAAAUGCAUCAAAGUACUAAGAAAAUCAAAAUGGCAAUCUUGAGAGUCUCACAAAACUUAGAACCAGUCUGGAAUUUAAAUAAGAACCAAGUUACCGAAGUUACUGCUUCGAUUUAAUUUACUGCCGACCUUAAAGUAUUUAUAUUGCUUUGUAGUUGGCUUUUAAUUAGUAAUACGGUUUUCGAAAAUAGAAUGGAAAUAGUGACCGUUGCGGAAAUGAAUACGACGUAAGCCAUUGAAACAGAGCUAAAAUUACAACCGAAAACGCUACUUCAACGCUGCACACCAAAGAGUAAUAUACGUUAAUGGGUUUGUUUUAGUAUUCAUCGCUUGAACGGAUUCUGUAUGGUAACGAAAAUUGUCCUCGGGGUACGAACCGUUUCUCAUAUUAUUUUAAACGA
This is a long non-coding RNA of Onthophagus taurus, 1069 nucleotides long. RefSeq lists it as uncharacterized. Lineage: Eukaryota; Metazoa; Arthropoda; Insecta; Coleoptera; Scarabaeidae. The record is from RefSeq and is a predicted model, not a curated record.